RNAcentral lists this ribosomal RNA (389 nucleotides) under Lepidodinium sp. RNAcentral's name for it is "partial small subunit ribosomal RNA". It matches the Rfam family "Eukaryotic small subunit ribosomal RNA", at positions 582 to 975 of the family's 1831-position model. The record is from RNAcentral. Lineage: Eukaryota; Dinophyceae; Gymnodiniales; Gymnodiniaceae.
AUUCCAGCUCCAAUAGCGUAUAUUAAAGUUGUUGCGGUUAAAAAGCUCGUAGUUGGAUUUCUGCUGAGGACGACCGGUCCGCCCUCUGGGUGAGUAUCUGGCUCGGCCUUGGCAUCUUCUUGGGGAACGUAACUGCACUUGACUGUGUGGUGCGGUAUCCAGGACUUUUACUUUGAGGAAAUUAGAGUGUUUCAAGCAGGCGCACGCCUUGAAUACAUUAGCAUGGAAUAAUAAGAUAGGACCUUGGUUCCAUUUUGUUGGUUUCUAGAGCUGAGGUAAUGAUUAAUAGGGAUAGUUGGGGGUGCUAGUAUUGGCCGGCCAGAGGUGAAAUUCUUGGAUUCGGUCAAGACUAACUUAUGCGAAAGCAUUCACCAAGGAUGUCUUCAUUG